GAUGAACGCUGGCGGCGUGCUUAACACAUGCAAGUCGAACGAUGAAGCCCAGCUUGCUGGGUGGAUUAGUGGCGAACGGGUGAGUAACACGUGAGUAACCUGCCCUUAACUCUGGGAUAAGCCUGGGAAACUAGGCCUAAUACCGGAUAGGAGCGCCUACCGCAUGGUGGGUGUUGGAAAGAUUUAUCGGUUUUGGAUGGACUCGCGGCCUAUCAGCUUGUUGGUGAGGUAAUGGCUCACCAAGGCGACGACGGGUAGCCGGCCUGAGAGGGUGACCGGCCACACUGGGACUGAGACACGGCCCAGACUCCUACGGGAGGCAGCAGUGGGGAAUAUUGCACAAUGGGCGCAAGCCUGAUGCAGCGACGCCGCGUGAGGGAUGACGGCCUUCGGGUUGUAAACCUCUUUCAGUAGGGAAGAAGCGAAAGUGACGGUACCUGCAGAAGAAGCACCGGCUAACUACGUGCCAGCAGCCGCGGUAAUACGUAGGGUGCGAGCGUUAUCCGGAAUUAUUGGGCGUAAAGAGCUCGUAGGCGGUUUGUCGCGUCUGUCGUGAAAGUCCGGGGCUUAACCCCGGAUCUGCGGUGGGUACGGGCAGACUAGAGUGCAGUAGGGGAGACUGGAAUUCCUGGUGUAGCGGUGGAAUGCGCAGAUAUCAGGAGGAACACCGAUGGCGAAGGCAGGUCUCUGGGCUGUAACUGACGCUGAGGAGCGAAAGCAUGGGGAGCGAACAGG
RNAcentral lists this ribosomal RNA (735 nucleotides) under Micrococcus luteus. Its description in RNAcentral is "bacterial SSU rRNA". It matches the Rfam family "Bacterial small subunit ribosomal RNA", at positions 28 to 776 of the family's 1533-position model. The record is from RNAcentral. Lineage: Bacteria; Bacillati; Actinomycetota; Actinomycetes; Micrococcales; Micrococcaceae.